CGGGCUCCCGGAGCUCCGGGUCAGGGUCAUGUCGGGGACUUGACCACUCGGCCGGGUCUCCCGUCAGCUGGGACACUUGCAGCUGCCCCAGGACGGGCAGCCUCGAUCCUGAUGAGCAGCUCCAGCAAUAAGAGGGCUCCGACCACAGCAACCCAGAGGCUGAAGCAGGACUACCUUCGCAUUAAGAAAGACCCGGUGCCUUACAUCUGUGCCGAGCCCCUCCCUUCGAAUAUUCUCGAGUGAGAAAAGAUAUUUCAGUGAGUUGAAAGGAAGUGUGUUUCGGCUUGGUCAGGGGUCCACCUUCUCUGGCUCACAGAGGAGGCCCAGCCCAGGCAGGCGGAGGAUACCCAGGGUGAGGCGGAGCCCCUUGGCCACCAGAGUGCUCUCUGCCCCCAGUGUUGAAAAUCAGAUGUGGCCCCAGGACAUCGCUGGCAGGCACUAUGUCGUCCGAGGCCCAGAGAUGACCCCUUAUGAAGGUGGCUAUUAUCAUGGAAAACUAAUUUUUCCCAGAGAAUUUCCUUUCAAACCUCCCAGUAUCUAUAUGAUCACUCCCAACGGGAGGUUUAAGUGCAACACCAGGCUGUGUCUUUCUAUCACGGAUUUCCACCCGGACACGUGGAACCCGGCCUGGUCUGUCUCCACCAUCCUGACUGGGCUCCUGAGCUUCAUGGUGGAGAAGGGCCCCACCCUGGGCAGUAUAGAGACGUCGGACUUCA
Molecule: long non-coding RNA, 716 nt
Filed under: Pan troglodytes (chimpanzee)
Lineage: Eukaryota; Metazoa; Chordata; Mammalia; Primates; Hominidae
Description: long non-coding RNA NONPTRT000789
Source: RNAcentral